AUGGCUGGACUGGCAUGUAUUACUUGACACCUGGCUAGGUCGGGAAGGCGAGCUUAUUCUUUCCAAAUAUGCCCAGCUGGGUUUUGAGUGUGAAAUCAGCUAAGACUCCAGGGCAAAGAUAGGAAUGUGGCGAUUGUCAUCAAGGGUUUCUUGUAGCUUUCAGGGGCACUGCAUUACAGGCUCUUCUCACAGUCGCUCAUGUCCUAAUCAGCUCCAGACUGGACUGUUGUAAUGCAUUCUACAUGGGGCUGCCCUUGAAAGAUAUCUGGAAAUGUCAACUGAUACAGAAUGCAGCAGUGUGAGCAAUUAUGUGUACUCUUAAAACAGCACAUGUCCCAUCUCUGCUCUGCAAGCUUGUCUGGCUCCAAAAACCAAUAAAGACACAUUGAGUUUCUUCUAA
Long non-coding RNA from Pantherophis guttatus, 400 nucleotides. RefSeq lists it as uncharacterized. The record is from RefSeq and is a predicted model, not a curated record. NCBI's taxonomy places the organism in Eukaryota, Metazoa, Chordata, Lepidosauria, Squamata, Colubridae.